RNAcentral lists this ribosomal RNA (465 nucleotides) under uncultured bacterium. RNAcentral describes it as "partial 16S ribosomal RNA". It matches the Rfam family "Bacterial small subunit ribosomal RNA", at positions 28 to 507 of the family's 1533-position model. The record is from RNAcentral.
GACGAACGCUGGCGGCGUGCUUAACACAUGCAAGUCGAACGGAAAGGCCCUGCUUGCAGGGUACUCGAGUGGCGAACGGGUGAGUAACACGUGGGUGAUCUGCCCUGCACUUCGGGAUAAGCCUGGGAAACUGGGUCUAAUACCGGAUAGGAGCCAUUUUUAGUGUGAUGGUUGGAAAGUUUUUUCGGUGUAGGAUGAGCUCGCGGCCUAUCAGCUUGUUGGUGGGGUAAUGGCCUACCAAGGCGGCGACGGGUAGCCGGCCUGAGAGGGUGGACGGCCACAUUGGGACUGAGAUACGGCCCAGACUCCUACGGGAGGCAGCAGUGGGGAAUAUUGCACAAUGGGCGCGAGCCUGAUGCAGCGACGCCGCGUGGGGGAUGACGGCCUUCGGGUUGUAAACUCCUUUCGCUAGGGACGAAGCUUUUUGUGACGGUACCUAGAUAAGAAGCACCGGCUAACUACGUG